Molecule: long non-coding RNA, 323 nt
Filed under: Physcomitrium patens
Lineage: Eukaryota; Viridiplantae; Streptophyta; Bryopsida; Funariales; Funariaceae
Description: long non-coding RNA (PPAT_LNC006533)
Source: RNAcentral
GAAUGUUUAAAAUUUUUAAGUGAAAUUAAAGGUAGGUAUUCCACAACCUUCAAAAUACAACAAUAGGAGUGGCAUAAUCCACUUACUUCUAAUACAAAACAAGGACAAUAAGUUACCAUUCUUGUCAAAUUAUUAAGAACAUAAAUUUCAAAAAUUUAAAAUUUCAAUAUAUUCUUAUAUCACUCAAAAAGAUUAAAAAAUCACUUAAAGAUGGUAAUAUAUAUUGAACUAGAAUGGCUUUUGCCAAAGACAAGAAGACUACAAAGUCUUGAAACAAAACUAAGGACUAAAAAUGCAUUGACAAGAGUGAAAAAAGCUUCAUU